Molecule: ribosomal RNA, 265 nt
Filed under: uncultured bacterium
Lineage: Bacteria
Description: partial 16S ribosomal RNA
Rfam family: Bacterial small subunit ribosomal RNA
Source: RNAcentral
GUCCACGCCGUAAACGAUGAUAACUAGCUGUCCGGGCACUUGGUGCUUGGGUGGCGCAGCUAACGCAUUAAGUUAUCCGCCUGGGGAGUACGGCCGCAAGGUUAAAACUCAAAGGAAUUGACGGGGGCCUGCACAAGCGGUGGAGCAUGUGGUUUAAUUCGAAGCAACGCGCAGAACCUUACCAGCGUUUGACAUGUCCGGACGAUUUCCAGAGAUGGAUCUCUUCCCUUCGGGGACUGGAACACAGGUGCUGCAUGGCUGUCGU